RNAcentral lists this ribosomal RNA (422 nucleotides) under uncultured bacterium. RNAcentral's name for it is "partial 16S ribosomal RNA". It matches the Rfam family "Bacterial small subunit ribosomal RNA", at positions 360 to 774 of the family's 1533-position model. The record is from RNAcentral.
AAUAUGUGACAAUGGGGGGAACCCUGAUACAGCCAUGCCGCGUGUGUGAAGAUGGNCUNNGGAUUNUNAAGCACUUUAAGUUGNNNNNAAGAGUUGUAGNCUAAUAUAUUGCACUUUUGAAGUUCUCAACAGAAUAUGUACCGACUAACUUGGUGCCAGCAUCUGCGGUAAUACAGAGGGUGCAAGCGUGAAGCGGAAUUACUGGGAGUAAGGCGCGCGUAGGUGGUUCAGUAAACUGGGUGUGAAAUCCCCGGGCUUAACCUGGGAACUGCUUUCAUAACUGCUGAUCUAGAGUACGGUAGAGGGUAGCGAAAUUUCCUGUGUAGCGGUGAAAUGCGUAGAUAUAGGAAGGAACAUCAGUGGCGAAGGCGGCUACCUGGACUGAUACUGACACUGAGGUGCGAAAGCGUGGGGAGCAAACA